RNAcentral lists this transfer RNA (75 nucleotides) under candidate division Kazan bacterium RIFCSPHIGHO2_01_FULL_49_10. Its description in RNAcentral is "tRNA-Glu". It matches the Rfam family "tRNA". Rfam says of the family: Transfer RNA (tRNA) molecules are approximately 80 nucleotides in length. Their secondary structure includes four short double-helical elements and three loops (D, anti-codon, and T loops). The record is from RNAcentral. RNAcentral also lists the same sequence under 1 other name.
GCCCCCAUCGUCUAACGGUCAGGACGUCAGCUUUUCAAGCUGAAAACAGGAGUUCGAUUCUCCUUGGGGGUACCA